CCGCCUCAGGCUCUCCGCUUCGCGUCCAGCCGCCGUGGUGGCGUCUGGGAACUGAAGAUGCAGAAAUGGAGGUUCAGAAAGUCAAAAUGGGGGUCACGUAGCAGAUAGUUGUUGGGAACAGAUGCCUGCAAGAAGCUGUCCUGUUGACCAUCCAAAGUGUCUUCUACGCCCAACUGGAUGGCUUCAGCAAUUUCCACCUCAUCUGCAAUAGCCAUCAAACGGCGACGCAUCCUGGUGAAGCUCAGCUUGUGAAACAUCAGUACUGACAAUAUGAGGAUAAAAUUCAGCAGGAAAUUCCAACAACAGUCUAUCUAUAAGACAAAGGCGGCCAAGAAGUUCUUGCCAAUUGUUUGAUUCAGUUUGGUUUCCAAGAAUACAAUUUAAGACAUAAUCAACACCA
RNAcentral lists this long non-coding RNA (400 nucleotides) under Pan troglodytes (chimpanzee). Its description in RNAcentral is "long non-coding RNA NONPTRT013575". Lineage: Eukaryota; Metazoa; Chordata; Mammalia; Primates; Hominidae. The record is from RNAcentral.